Mustela putorius furo (domestic ferret) is the source of this 681-nucleotide long non-coding RNA. Ensembl lists it as uncharacterized. The record is from Ensembl. NCBI's taxonomy places the organism in Eukaryota, Metazoa, Chordata, Mammalia, Carnivora, Mustelidae.
GGAGGAGCCAGGUUCUCUGCCUCCCAACCAUAGAGCAACAACAUAUAAUCAAGAGGCUUAAAAGCAUAACUUCUGACCCCACAGUGCCUGGGUUCAAAUCUCAGCUCUGUCACCUACUAGCUGGUUGACCUUGUAAAGUUACUUAUCCUUUCUGUGUCCUGGUUUCCUCGUUUGUAAUGGAUAUGCCCAUCUCUGGCGGCCAUGACAUUUGUCUAUGAUCAACGUUAGCGAUGAUGGGAGUACCCUUCGGCAGGAUGCGAGAUCGCAGGAUCAAAUUAGAUACACUCAGUGGGAAUUGCCUUCGUGUUGCAAAGAACUGUGAGAAGAGUGGAUUUAGCCAGCUUCGGAGAUAGCUGCUGAUUCCUGCUUUGUCAUCACAUACAGUAGUUUCUUUACCUCUUUCCUGUGGCUAAAAAUGAACAACAGUAAAUACAGAAACUAUUUGCUCUGCAUUCUACCAUCUUUCUGUGUAUUAUGCAACAGUUUGGCUAAUCGGGCAGAAAGUUACUGAGUUUGACUCCCAGGAGAGAAGCCAAUUAUGUGUAUCUUAUUAUAAGGUUCAACAAGAUCAGCUGCACUUUAAAUAUUAAAGAAGUGUUCUUUAAGGGACUUUUUCUGACCUUUAAUGCAAUUCAUUUUACAGAACAUGAAAAACAAAUCACCAGAAUAAACUUCCUGAAU